This 87-nucleotide transfer RNA is filed under the name Saccharomyces cerevisiae Sigma1278b. Its description in RNAcentral is "tRNA-Leu (CAA) (tRNA-Leu-CAA-2-1)". It matches the Rfam family "tRNA". From Rfam's summary of the family: Transfer RNA (tRNA) molecules are approximately 80 nucleotides in length. Lineage: Eukaryota; Fungi; Ascomycota; Saccharomycetes; Saccharomycetales; Saccharomycetaceae. The record is from RNAcentral.
AGUGGUUGUGUUGGCCGAGCGGCUAAGGCGCCUGAUUCAAGCUCAGGUAUCGUAAAGAUGCGAGAGGUCGAAUCCUCUUAGCCACCA